CCGAGUAUGGAAUUGUGAUAGCGAGAUUGAGGUUGUACUCCCUGGCAAGAGUACAACACCCCCGCUAAUGUGGGGUUCUCUCCUUAGGAGGGCAAAACGUUGUACUCCAUAUGGCUCACAUGGUGUAGUUAUAUCGAUUAUAAGAAACUCCCACGUCCAUAAUGAUCUAAGUACCAUGAGAUACCGAGUCACUCUAAGUCAUGAGUCAAA
This 210-nucleotide long non-coding RNA is filed under the name Capsicum annuum. RNAcentral describes it as "long non-coding RNA (CANN_LNC003007)". The record is from RNAcentral. Lineage: Eukaryota; Viridiplantae; Streptophyta; Magnoliopsida; Solanales; Solanaceae.